RNAcentral lists this ribosomal RNA (301 nucleotides) under uncultured bacterium. RNAcentral's name for it is "partial 16S ribosomal RNA". It matches the Rfam family "Bacterial small subunit ribosomal RNA", at positions 509 to 807 of the family's 1533-position model. The record is from RNAcentral.
CAGCCGCCACGGUAAUACGUAGGGUGUGAGCGUUAAUCGGAAUUACUGGGCGUAAGGCGUGCGCAGGCGGUUAUAUAAGACAGAUGUGAAAUCCCCGGGCUCAACCUGGGACCUGCAUUUGUGACUGUAUAGCUAGAGUACGGUAGAGGGGGAUGGAAUUCCGCGUGUAGCAGUGAAAUGCGUAGAUAUGCGGAGGAACACCGAUGGCGAAGGCAAUCCCCUGGACCUGUACUGACGCUCAUGCACGAAAGCGUGGGGAGCAAACAGGAUUAGAUACCCCUGUAGUCCCUGUCUCUUAUAC